CCGCCGCGCACAAAGCACCCCCCACUUCUCUCGGGCAACGCCGCCACCGCCGCCAAAUCCUCACGCGUUCAUUGGCCGAGGGGGUCUCGUCUCCUGAGGACACAUUGUAGCUAUAACCUAUUCUUUGAUAAUUAAAAAAUAGUGGGCAGCUGAGAGAUGAAAAGCAUUGUAAUAAUGUAGACUUAUUCUUACUGUGUAGUGCCGAAGAUUUCUGGGAAGGCCUGCGAACAUCUCUUCUAGAGAUCUAGGCCUCUACUGACUCUCUUCCUGCUGUAACUAUCGACUCAGAGACUUGUGGGUAAUGUGGAGUACGUCAGCAUCUCUACUAUAUCCUGGACUGCUUGGGGAGCUCAGAGUUCAGAGAGUUCCAUGCUGAUCACGUAGCUUCUUUCCAGUUUGUUUCUCAGUGUGCCUGAGCUGUCAGUGCCCUCUACUGCUUUUUCUGUCAGACCUUGUCAGACCAGUUGCUGUGAGAGCUUCUGUUCAACUACCUACCCAUUCUCAAAUGUUCUUACCUCUCUAUGAAAAUUAUAGCACACACAAAAAAUUCUUUUCUUUGUGAUAAGUUAAUAAAACCUUGAAAUACCA
Sarcophilus harrisii (Tasmanian devil) is the source of this 588-nucleotide long non-coding RNA. RefSeq lists it as uncharacterized. The record is from RefSeq and is a predicted model, not a curated record. The transcript has 3 exons. NCBI's taxonomy places the organism in Eukaryota, Metazoa, Chordata, Mammalia, Dasyuromorphia, Dasyuridae.